Molecule: long non-coding RNA, 1734 nt
Filed under: Homo sapiens (human)
Lineage: Eukaryota; Metazoa; Chordata; Mammalia; Primates; Hominidae
Description: HSALNT0325272
Source: RNAcentral
CACUCUGUCACCCAGACUGGAGUGCAAUGAUGCAAUCACAGGUCACUGCAGCCUUGACCUGCUGAACUCAAGCAAUCCUCCCAUCUCAGCCUCCUGAGUAGCUGGGACUUUAGGCAUGCGCCACCACACCCAGGUAAAUCAUCAUGUUACCUCCAGAAUUCUACUCCUCCAUGCAGCUUCUCUGUGCAUAAAAUCCUUGGAUAGAAGAAAUGUCUGCUGGCCUAGAACUGAUUUUAACACUGAAAAUAUUAAGGCCACAUAACACAAGGCUGGGCAGGUGCAUAUCUCACCCAAAGCAUCUGCUUUUCUAAGCCACACAUAGAAAAAUAACUCAAGAAGUAUAGUUGAAGAUGGCCGAAUAGAAACAGCUCCAGUCUGCAGCUCCCAGUGAGACCAAUGCAGAAGGCUGGUGAUUUCUGCACUUCCAACUGAGGUACCCAGUUCAUCUCAUCGGGACUGGUUAGGCAGGGCAUCUCCGAAGGAAAUGCAGCAAACCCAGUCAGGGGCUUACAGAUGAAACUCUCUUCUCCCUCAGACUGAGCACCUAGGCGGAGGGACGGCUAUGGGCAAAGCUUCAGCGGACUUAAUCUUUCCUGCCUGCUGGCUGUGGAGACAGCAGCUGAUCCUGACAAGGGGUAUUCUUCCAGCACAGCACAGCAGCUCUGCUAAGAGACAGGUUGCCUCCUCAAGUGGGUCCCUGACACCCGUGCCUCCUGACUGGGAGAAACCUCCAAACAGGGGUCGACAGACACCUCAUGCAGGAAAGCUCAGGCUGGCAUUAGGCCAGUGCCCCUGUGGGACAAAGCUUCCAGAGGAAGGAGCAGGCAGCAAUCUUUGCUGUUUUGCAGCCUCCACUGCUGAUACCCAGGUAAACAGGAUCUGGGAUGGACCUCCAGGAAACUACAGCAGAUCUGCAGAAGAAAGCCCUGACUACUAGAAGAAAAACUAACAAACAGAAAGCAACAACAACAACAUCAACAAAAACUCAAAACCCAAAUCCACACAAAAACUCAAUCCAAAGGUCGCCAUUCUCAAAGAUCAAAAGUAGAUAAAUCCACGAAAGUGAGGAAAAAACAGCACAAAAACCCUGAAAAUUCCAAAACCCAGAAUGCCUCUUCUCCUCCAAAUGAUUGCAACUCCUCUCCAGCAAGGGCACAAAACUGGAUGGAGAAUGAGAUUGACAAAUUGACAGAAGUAGGCUUCAGAAGGUGGGUAAUAACAAACUCCUCUAAGCUAAAUAAGCAUGUUCUAUUCCAAUAUAAGGAAGUUAAGAACCUUGAUAAAAGGUUACAGGAACAGCUAACUAGAAUAACCAGUUUAGAGGGGAAAAUAAAUGACCUGUUGGAGCUGAAAAACAUAGCAUGAGAACUUCAUGAAGCAUACACAAGUACCAAUAGCCAAAUAAAUCAAGCAGAAGAAAGGAUAUCAGAGAUUGAAGAUUACCUUGCUAAAAUAAGGCGUGAAGACAAGAUUAGAGAAAAAAGAAUGAAAAGGACUGAACAAAGCCUCCAAGAAAUAUGGGAAUAUGUGAACAGACCAAACUUAUGAUUAAUUGAUGUACCUGAAAGUGAUGGGGAGAAUGGAACCAAGUUGGAAAACACACUUCAGGAUAUUAUCCAGGAGAACUUCCCCAACCUAGCAAGACAGGCCAGCAUUCAAAUUCAGGAAAUACAGAGAAUACCACUAAGAUACUCCUCGAGAAGAUCAACCCCAAGACACAUUAUCGUCAGAUUC